GGCUGGUCCAAAGGUAGUGACUUAUCUCAAUUGAUUGUUCACAGUCAGUACAGAUUGAACUCCUUGUUCUACUCUUCCCCCCCUUCUCUCUACUGCACUUGACUCAUCUAAA
Molecule: unclassified non-coding RNA, 112 nt
Organism: Cavia porcellus (domestic guinea pig)
Lineage: Eukaryota; Metazoa; Chordata; Mammalia; Rodentia; Caviidae
Rfam family: Y RNA
About the family: Y RNAs are components of the Ro ribonucleoprotein particle (Ro RNP), in association with Ro60 and La proteins. The Y RNAs and Ro60 and La proteins are well conserved, but the function of the Ro RNP is not known.
Source: Ensembl